Molecule: ribosomal RNA, 1183 nt
Filed under: Shigella flexneri
Lineage: Bacteria; Pseudomonadati; Pseudomonadota; Gammaproteobacteria; Enterobacterales; Enterobacteriaceae
Description: partial 23S ribosomal RNA
Rfam family: Bacterial large subunit ribosomal RNA
Source: RNAcentral
GGUUAAGCGACUAAGCGUACACGGUGGAUGCCCUGGCAGUCAGAGGCGAUGAAGGACGUGCUAAUCUGCGAUAAGCGUCGGUAAGGUGAUAUGAACCGUUAUAACCGGCGAUUUCCGAAUGGGGAAACCCAGUGUGAUUCGUCACACUAUCAUUAACUGAAUCCAUAGGUUAAUGAGGCGAACCGGGGGAACUGAAACAUCUAAGUACCCCGAGGAAAAGAAAUCAACCGAGAUUCCCCCAGUAGCGGCGAGCGAACGGGGAGCAGCCCAGAGCCUGAAUCAGUGUGUGUGUUAGUGGAAGCGUCUGGAAAGGCGUGCGAUACAGGGUGACAGCCCCGUACACAAAAAUGCACAUACUGUGAGCUCGAUGAGUAGGGCGGGACACGUGGUAUCCUGUCUGAAUAUGGGGGGACCAUCCUCCAAGGCUAAAUACUCCUGACUGACCGAUAGUGAACCAGUACCGUGAGGGAAAGGCGAAAAGAACCCCGGCGAGGGGAGUGAAAAAGAACCUGAAACCGUGUACGUACAAGCAGUGGGAGCACGCUUAGGCGUGUGACUGCGUACCUUUUGUAUAAUGGGUCAGCGACUUAUAUUCUGUAGCAAGGUUAACCGAAUAGGGGAGCCGAAGGGAAACCGAGUCUUAACUGGGCGUUAAGUUGCAGGGUAUAGACCCGAAACCCGGUGAUCUAGCCAUGGGCAGGUUGAAGGUUGGGUAACACUAACUGGAGGACCGAACCGACUAAUGUUGAAAAAUUAGCGGAUGACUUGUGGCUGGGGGUGAAAGGCCAAUCAAACCGGGAGAUAGCUGGUUCUCCCCGAAAGCUAUUUAGGUAGCGCCUCGUGAAUUCAUCUCCGGGGGUAGAGCACUGUUUCGGCAAGGGGGUCAUCCCGACUUACCAACCCGAUGCAAACUGCGAAUACCGGAGAAUGUUAUCACGGGAGACACACGGCGGGUGCUAACGUCCGUCGUGAAGAGGGAAACAACCCAGACCGCCAGCUAAGGUCCCAAAGUCAUGGUUAAGUGGGAAACGAUGUGGGAAGGCCCAGACAGCCAGGAUGUUGGCUUAGAAGCAGCCAUCAUUUAAAGAAAGCGUAAUAGCUCACUGGUCGAGUCGGCCUGCGCGGAAGAUGUAACGGGGCUAAACCAUGCACCGAAGCUGCGGCAGCGACGCUUAUGCGUUGU